GAUGCCAUCCCCUCUGGGGUGGGAAUGCUCUUUCAGUGUGUAUUUCUUUAUAUCUUUGUUUUAUUUUAUUUUGUAAAACGUGCUCUCGUUUUAUUAAACGUGCUCUCGUUUUAUUAAACGUGCUCUCGUUUUUUUAAAACGAGCUCUCGUUUUUUUAAAACGAGCUCUCGUUUUUUUAAAACGUGCUCUUGUUUAAGACCAUGAUUUAAGACCUGGAAAUGAGACAAUCUCAAUCGCCACGACCCAUUUUGAAUAAAGAGACAGAAAAAGAUUAAGGGCACAGAACAUGAAGACCAAAGGUCAAGCUAGCGUACAGAGAAGCAAGGCUGGUAAUGUUAUGUUUUGUUGACAGAUCCUAACCCGAGCGGGCAGUGACGAAGUUCGGCGACUACCAAUGGCAGGGCAGAUCCUCUCUGCAUCUUGAAGUCCCUUCUCUUUUCUACUCGCUAGAUAAUAGUGAUGGGAAGUUCGACUCUUUCCACUGACUCGGAUCUUGUCGAGUCAUUCAGUAAAAGUUUGAUUCAUUUGAGUCAAUAAUGCCUACAGCCUUCUCUGUUACAAACAUGUCUUUAUAAUGGUACUGUCUUAAUCUAUUUUUCAUUGCAAUAGUAAAACU
This is a long non-coding RNA of Esox lucius (northern pike), 616 nucleotides long. Lineage: Eukaryota; Metazoa; Chordata; Actinopteri; Esociformes; Esocidae. The record is from Ensembl.